Molecule: non-coding RNA, 430 nt
Organism: Pimephales promelas (fathead minnow)
Lineage: Eukaryota; Metazoa; Chordata; Actinopteri; Cypriniformes; Leuciscidae
Source: RefSeq, a predicted model, not a curated record
ACAUAACUGUCAAGUGAAUGGGUCAUAACUACACAAUGAGUUUUAAAUUCAUUAUUUAAAAUUAAUGAUAUUUCAAAUUGUUAAAUGUUAUAAUGUUUAUUUAAAUGCUGCGUGCCUUUUGACGUGUUCUAUGGUUUCAAUGGGCGUACGUGCGCGUAAACAUUGAGUCGCAAUUCAAAGACAGGAGCGCGCGUGAGCAGAUGGAAACCAUGGAAACGAGGAAACCUCAUCAACUGUCAAACAGCAAAACUAGCGUCUCUCACUGUUGUUUUCUCUGCUUUCAGAAGAUCAUCUUGGCCUGCUGCACCCCCUGUCCAAGACAAUCUCCACGGCUAUGAACUCGACUAAUGAGAUGUCAAUCAUUUGACCCUGUGAUUCUUCAGGACAAGAUCUUGAUGCCAUCCACACUGAACAUGACAUCGUACAUGAC